AGAGUUUGAUCCUGGCUCAGAUUGAACGCUGGCGGCAUGCUUUACACAUGCAAGUCGAACGGCAGCACGAGUGCUUGCACUUGGUGGCGAGUGGCGAACGGGUGAGUAAUACAUCGGAACGUGUCCUAAAGUGGGGGAUAACGCAUCGAAAGAUGUGCUAAUACCGCAUAAUCUCUCAGGAGGAAAGCAGGGGAUCGAAAGACCUUGCGCUUUUGGAGCGGCCGAUGUCUGAUUAGCUAGCUGGUAGGGUAAUGGCUUACCAAGGCGACGAUCAGUAGUUGGUCUGAGAGGAUGGCCAACCACACUGGGACUGAGACACGGCCCAGACUCCUACGGGAGGCAGCAGUGGGGAAUUUUGGACAAUGGGGGAAACCCUGAUCCAGCAAUGCCGCGUGAGUGAAGAAGGCCUUCGGGUUGUAAAGCUCUUUCAGUUGAGAAGAAAAAGUUGUGACUAAUAAUCAUAAUUCAUGACGGUAUCGACAGAAGAAGCACCGGCUAACUACGUGCCAGCAGCCGCGGUAAUACGUAGGGUGCGAGCGUUAAUCGGAAUUACUGGGCGUAAAGGGUGCGCAGGCGGUUAUGUAAGUCAGAUGUGAAAUCCCCGGGC
Molecule: ribosomal RNA, 607 nt
Filed under: uncultured bacterium
Lineage: Bacteria
Description: bacterial SSU rRNA
Rfam family: Bacterial small subunit ribosomal RNA
Source: RNAcentral